AAUACAUAUACAGUACAUGACAUUAUUGCAUUACGUAUUUUAAUUAUUAUUUAGCUUCUUUUUUUGACAUCAACAUUCACCAGACACACAGAUUGAACUGGAUUACACCUCAGCCAAAGGUUAUGGUUGUAAAAACUAAAGACUUUCCAUCAUACUACUAUGAUACACCUAAAUUCAUUUUUAAUGACAAUGCUGCACUCUUCUGGUCAGCUGGCUGAAAGAAGGUUGCAACUCUCUUGUCACUUUUGAUGUAGAUUAGUGAGAAAUUAUUGGCAAUUUCUUAAUAUGUUUAGAUGAUAAAAUGAUCAAAUAAAACAGAUAAAAGCACAAAGGUUGAAGACACUUUUGUACACAUACAUACAAAAACACAUAUAAGUAGCAAUCUAGAAUAUAAAAAACUAUAUAAUUGUACUCGCCAUGAGCACUAAUAGUCUAAACAGCAAUAAAAUAAAAUGUAAAAAGAGCAUAUAAAAGUUUGUAAUGGUAAGAUUAGAAGUAAAAAUCUUUAAACAAUAAAAAUGUGAACUCCAUUUAGAACCCAGGCUGAAUAGACACAUCUGCUUUUAGUUUUGAAAACAUCUGGUCCACAGACAGCCUGAUUAAUUAACCAGCUGUUAUACUCAAUAAAGUUCAGAAUGACAAAAAGAUAAUAUUCUGCUAAAAUAAAAUUUUAGUGUUUAUUUUAUUAUGCUGAUUAAGUCUAUCCAUAAUGAUUUACAGUAUUGUUAUUACUGUAAAAGUCAAUAUGGUUUGUUUCUUUAGAAAUAUGAAUAAUAAAUAAUAAGAAGAAAUGUUUACAUUAUUUUAUAUUUCUCCACCUGUGACUGUUUUCCACACAUUUUGCAAAAUCGAAACAUUGCAUAUUUUACUCUUAAGAAAAAGCAGCCGUCAGGAUUAUACACACCAUAAUUACUAAUUUUACGAAAUUCAAAAUAACAAAAAAUUAUUUAAGGUUAAAAAAAAUCAGUUGUAUUCAAAAUAUAUUUGCUUUAAAGGAGGGAGAAUUACAAUUGAAGUCGUUUAUAAUGAACAGCUGGAUUGUGUUUCUGUGCGUGAGACUCAAACAAAAGGCUCAGAAACAGGUAGAAAUAUGUGGUCUUCAUAAAAUACAAAUAAAUUUAAAACCUUUAGUUCAGAAAAUGAAAUUGCACUAAAGAAGACAUGUGAGGUCUUAGUCGGGAACAAGGAGAGGAACCACCAGAAACAAUCCUGUCCAAAAAACAGUUUCAGUCACGAUGAUACACGAUGAAAACAAAAAAAUCGCUACAUGACUGUAGAGAUAAUGCAAUAUGUCUGCAAAAAACAGAUUGGCUGAAAAACUGGAGGCAGAAACCAAAGGAAAAUCAAGACAUAAGAAAUAAAACUGCAACAAUGUGGAGGUGUGAAGAUUUGAUACAAACAUUUGAUUUUAAAACAAAUGAAAACGUGGAAAUCUAAUCGCCUUCUGUUAAUCAAAGUGUUUCUAUUUUCCAACUAAAGAUGCACCGAUCAACACCAGUUCUUCUAGAUACUAUUACUAGAGAAAGAAAAUAGGUUUUAGCUUAUUUUUUCUCUGUUUCAGCUGUAGCUCUUUGUUUGAGGUAAUAGUUUUAAAUCUCACAGAAAAGGAAGGAAUCAAAACACUCUUCUGUUUUAUGGUUCACAAUCUUUGUUUGUAACCUUUAUCAAAUUUUUGUUAAACUCAGCAAAGUGCAUCAAAGUGCCUGCUGUGGGUUGAUGCUUUUGUGCACUGAAAAUGGUGGGAGUUUGAUGCAUUUAAACAACAGGGGGAAGAAAAUCAGAUUUUUCAUUGUGACCUCCUGUGAACCCUGUCUUUGUCCACUGCAGGCACCGAGUUAUUCCUCGGUUUGAGCGUCCCUCUGGUGACGGCGCAGCCAAGCUGGCAUGAUGUGCUGAUGAGGCUGCCAGUGAGGAUCAGCUUCUGAAUUUUGAUGUCCUCCUUUGCCACCAAACCACAGUUGAUGAUUAUUAUUGAGUGCCGAGAUUAUCUAAAAUGGGUUCUGCCAGCAGCAGUCGGAAUCCGACUGCCAGUUCAAAAGAUGCAAAAGAGGUUCAUGCCAAAAAGUAAAAAAACAACAACAAAAAAACUGGUGAUAAUAUGAAAGUUUGUGAAGUGGAAAUUGGUUUUUGUCAUAAAUGAUUUGUUUGUUUCAUAUAGCAACACUGUUACAUAAAGCUCAUGUUCUUUCAAUUCAAUGUUCUGGAAAGUAAAGUUUUCGUAGUGCUUACACUUUUUCAAAAAAUUUCACAUUAUUUCCACAAGCUUUAAAGUAUUUUGAUGGGAUUUUAUGUAAGAAAACAAUACAAGGUAGUGCAUAAAUAUUUCAUAAAAAGAAACAUUAUUUUUCAACAGAUCUUAUAAAUACAAAUUCAGAGUCUGAAUCUGUAUUCAGAAAACUUGAAUAAAUACUUUUAGAAAUAUCACUUGCUGCAACUAGAGCAUUUUUUGGACAAAGGAACAAAUCUUAAAUAUAUUUCCUAUGCUUGUUGCAUGGAUGUAAGGUGGGUGUUUUUGCAGACAGUUCUGGUCUGAAUAGGAACUAAUUCUUUCUACAUACUGUAAAUGAUGCAAUGUAUAAGUUUCACCUCAAUCAUCAAUACUGUAUGUAACCUUAUUCUGAAAAUAGACUAUGUAUAGAAAAACAAGGUCAAAAACAGAUAAAUCAAACCAACAUAAUCAAAUAAACAUUUUUCCAACAUAGUACAUAUUUGAAACAUUUAUAUUUGUGGUUGUAACCUGACAAAAUGUCAAGACGUUCAAGAGUAUGUGACUAGCUUUACUUUCAACCAUAUCCCGUCAUGAUGGCAUAAGAAAAUGUAUUUGUUGUGGCAAAUAAGUUGAAGUUGUGGUUUCUGUAGUGCCUCACAGUUGUGCUGUGGUUAGUAGAGCUUCUUCACAGUAAGCCGGUUUCUGGUUAAAAUUAGAGAGUCUCUGUCUCUGGUUUCCUCCUACGGCGUGAUUGUGUUCGUCUGUCUGUCUGGUGAGAAUGGCGAUCUGUUCUGGCCUGACAACGUGACUUGAAUUGAUGGAAGUCACUAAAGUCUAAGAAACUUUUAGUGAGUUUUUAGUCAAACAACAAAUCACUGUUGUUUGGUGAGUUUAAAGUAAGGCUUAUUUUGUUCUGACUUAAAUCUUAACUCUGUCACACAGCAGAAUCACACACCUUCACACUCUCACUUUCUGCCUGACAACACAUACAGUUAUACUUGUUUCCUAUUUUAUCCAUUACACAGCUCAGGGACCCAAAUAAAACAUGUCAAAGGUGUUGGGGACUCUAAGGAAGGAGGACAUGUGGGAUGUGUCCAAGAUGCCUCCGUAAGUCUGAGGUAUUAACUACCAGUGAUGGCUACCAAUGUAGCCUUCAUCCUGAUUGGCGAUGACAGAUAGGCAGAUAUAGCUCUGCUAGAGUAACUCUACUCCCCCCAGCUUCUGUUCGCUGAAGCCCUGCAAUUAGCCAAACCCACGAAGGCCUGCGACUCAACAUGCAAAAGCCACAGAGGAGAAAAUAACCGAUAUUCCUUUUCUCCUGCAUUUAUAGCGUUGUAUUUUUUUGUGUUAGUUCACAUUCUGCAGCCAAGUAAGCAUAUUUUUUCCUUAACAUGAAGCCAGCAUUAUCCAUCAAUGUGCAAUUAUUAGGGCAGAAUAUGAUUCUGACACUUAUUGAACACAUUCAGUUCACCGUUCACAGCAUUUUGAAAUAAUGAAUUAGUCAAAUCCCAGCAAGUUGAGCUUCUGCUCAUCCAUAUUUAAACAGAUUUUCAGACCAAAAAAAUAAUCAGAUGACGCUCUGCAGUCAGACCAAUUGAAAAGGUCUCCUUUUAAUUCUUACGGCAUAAUAUUAUUCCCUAAUUUUAGUCUCAUCCAGCUUCUCCUCUGAGUUGUUUCAAUCUAACUCAGCCUGUGUGCCACAGUCUGAUUUGGGAACAAAAUUUGCUUCAUCCCAGCAUGAUCUGCUUAGUCAGACAGUUCAUGGCCACGGAGAGGACAGGUGAAGCUGCUGAGUCUGAAUCAGCUCUUUAGGUGGCAUAACAGCACUGAAGCUCACUCACACAUCAUGAAUCUUUAAUGACCUUUAGUGACUGGAAAAAAAGAUUGAAAAGCACAGUACUGUCCUUCCACAUAUAUUGUACAACGUAUGAAGAAACUAACACUGAGCAACCAUUUUUGAUGAUGAAUAAAACCUUGGCAGAUAAAUUAGAAGUUUUUUGAUGUUUUUGUUGAUGCAAAGAAAUUACAAGUGAGUCAAAUUUAAUUACAUUUCUAAAAUAUCUAACCUUAAACUUGGUAAAAAGCUUGAGUAUUCACUUUGCUUAAGAAAAUUGUAUUGUUGAAAACUUUUGCAAAUCGGUUUUAGAGGUUUUCAGUAAGUACUGAGUUAUCCAGCACUGAAAAGCACUUUUUAAUUUGUGAACAAGGCCAUUAAUUGUUGCAUGGAGAGCUGAAUGGGGACAAGGAAAAAUCAAGCUGUACAAUAACACCAGAUUUUAUUUCCACAAAUGAGUCAAAUUCAAGCAGAGCAAUAUGAGGAUGUUUGCACACAUAAAUAAUUUGUUUUUGAAGAUGGCAGAUUCAGUCCUGCUCUUACUAAUGACCUUCAUUUGCAGUUUAAUGAAAUCAUACACUAGAAAUUAGAAGCAACGUAAUCAACUGAUGUCCUCAGUGACGACGUUAAUAAAAUCUAAAUGGGACAAAAUAUGACAUUUUUUUUCCAGCUCUGUCACAUGCCAGACAGAGCCAUGCAAAGGAAUAUUUAAACGACUGAGGAACAAGAAAAGGGAUUUAAGGAGAAAAUGAGAGCGAGAAAAUGUUACUAAAAUCCUUUUUCUUGCUAAGCAGGAUGUGCUUUGAUGUUUUAUCUCCAAAGCGACAAAAGCGCAGAAAGCAGAUAGAGCUGGCUGAGGAGCCAAAUCUACUGCGCUGAAGACGAGCAGCGGCGACAGGAAGAGGGGGUGGAAAGAAGCUGGAGAGCGGGAGAGACGGAGAUGGUGCACAAUGCGGACCCUCACAAAGGGAGAGGCAGUAAGACGAAAACUGAUGAGGGAAAUUAAAACAUUAUCAAACAGGCAGUGAAACAUGGCAGCCGGAGCAGACCGGGAAGAGAGCGGAAGGGAUGAGCGAGAGGAGUCCGGCGUGGCACGGCGGCGGUGACGAUGGCUAAUGCAGCACACUGUGACGUCAACCUUGCAGCAGAGCUGAGCUCAACACUAGCAGGCUAAUCUGUCCUCUGUGGCCUGCAAUGAAUUGCAGUGUUAUAAUUACAACACAUGCGGGUAAAGCACCUGCCUCUCAAAUGCCUCGCUUAAGCAAUUGACCUCUUGCAGCCAAUACUUCUGUUUACUUCAACACAACAUGUGAAUACACAUCAAAGAGCAGGCAUUACCAAUUGUGCAAGUUUUGUUUUUCAGCCGCUCAGCAAUGUCUCUUCUAAUAUUUAUAUUAAUUGUUAUGAAUUUGGUCAUAAGCACAAAGGAGCCAAGUUGAUAAGAAGUGGUGUUAUGUUUGAAACCUCAUAAUCGAAUGAAUGAACAAAAAGGAAAUAUAGUGGUCGCUUGGAGAUCUAUCAAACCAGCACCUUGCUGAUUUACAGAGCUCCAUCUGACUGACGCCUUGUGACAAAAACUAAUUUAAAAUAAUAAAAGUCUGGCAGCAUUCUGGUCAGUGUUGUAAUUUGUGCUAAGGACUGAGAUGCAUGUUUCAUCUAAAGGCAGUUCAGCUUCAGCUCUUUAAUUUCUACAAACAACUGAUUAGCCUCUUCAGCCAAAAGGCUAAUCAGUCCAAGUUUUACUCACCAGGGUUUAUUUCCAGUGUAGCAGCUGUCAGGAUUGCCAAUGACUAGGAAAUAUUCUGUCACCACCCCAAGUCCAACAGGUUUUAUUUUUACUGUAACUUGUCAUUUCAAGCUAAUGGUGCAUGAAUGUGGGAAUGAUGGUGCUGCAUAUGGCAGACAGAUGAGAAGGAGAAAUGUUUUGACUGCAUUGUCUGAUAUUCUCUCUAUCACUUUAGAAAAACACAGAGAAAAAGUGAGUUAUAACUGCAGGUAAUACUUGCAUUUAGAGAAAUCAGAUAUCGAUUGGUUUAAUAAGGCAGUCUGCAUUUAUCAGCAGCUGUUUUGUACUGACAAAGGAAACAGAAACGGUAAAGCAUUUUCUUAUCUCAUUGAGUUUAUACUUUAUAAACAACAGGUUUUGUCACUUCAUAGUCUGGCUGUUGACUUCCUGCCCGACCUGUAGUAGCCAUAGCACAAACUAUUACUUUAGUUUUUUUGUUACACUUACAUCCAACAUACCAACCGAGGAGAAAUAAUCCUCCCUGUACUUCAACAAAGGUCACAAACCUUUCCAGAAGAAUUAAUCUUCGCUGCAAAAAUUCUUCCUAUAUCCUUUUUCUGUGCCAAAAAUAAACAGACAUGCAUCGAUUUUAUAUAUUCCCAUUUGAAAAACUUUUAGGUUUAGAAAACAAUCAGACAUCUGUUUGCGGUUAUAGUCUUUAGUGAUGCAGUGUUAAGAUCAACGUGCUUUCUUGGUGUGACUCAAAAGCCCAUCCUGUGUCAGAAGGAAAGUGGGUUUUAAACUAAAUUAUGCCCCUAAGCAUCUAAGUGAGUUCUGAUUAUUUAUUUAUGUUUCAAACUCAAAAAUAUCUUCAUGUUUUGUAUUCAAUAUUUAACGCCAUGAAGAUGCCCUGAUGAAAAAUAAGGCGCGUAUCUGCUUUUAAACUGCUGCAAACACCCACCACAGUGAGCAAGCCAAGAACUGCACUGAAAGCAGAGCGUCCGUUCAUUAUUAAAGAAUGUCCACAGUGCUUUAAGUUCCCAGUCUCUCAGGUUACUGUGGAAGGAGCUGUAGAGCUGCAGCAGAGCAGAUGCUGCACGCAGCGUUACGAGAGCAGUGUGGACGAACAGGUGCUCUGCUUUAAGACUUCACACACGGCAAUCAAGAGAGCAGAAAAGCCCCCACAAGGUUUUAUACAUGAGUACUAAGUGAACUCAAUGGAUACGAAUGUAAAUAUAAAAGUGCUGGUGUGAAUAAAAAUACUCUCCUGUCAAGAACACCAGACUCUUGUAGAUUAUGUGAGAUCAUGCAGGUCUGCACAAGAGGGACACAUAAUUGAUGGCUCCUUAAAGAGAGAACAGGGCUAAGCUUCAUUUUACACACAACUGAGUUUAGAGGACAAAUUCUUCACAUUUGACCCCAAGAAAAGAGUCCUAUUUCUAGCCAAAGCUGUAUUUUAGGUUUGAUCCCUGUUCAUGCUAAGGUUAAAGGUUACUGUAGCAAAUAAUAAACACAAGAUGUUUCCAUCUCUUAAAGUCGUAGUUGUCAAACCAAGACAGAAGAGCCUUUACCUUACUUCUAGUGGUAUUUUUGGUAAAGAACCAUUGACAUGGAGAACAAAAAACUAACUCUCUGUUAUGAUGAUUCAAAUAUUUUACUUCUAGGUGAAGCCAAGGUGUUGAGGGAAUCUGUUUUUGUGAUCUUUUAAUGGUGUCCGUGCUUCUUUUGUCCUAUUGAUUUCAGCAGACUGGGAACCAAAUACAAAUGUGGUAAUGGUUUCACAAAAUAACGUUUAGAUAAACUGCCAUGUUGUUCUUGAAACUGGAGUCGUUUUAAGACCGAUCAGUCUAUUUUGGUUUUGGUCCCAGUCAGACUAGCUAUAUGCUUCUGCAUUUGGCACCAACAAAUCUGGAUCUAUAGUAAGUAAAGACCCUAAAAGAGUUACUGCAGGUAAGAUACUUACUGCUUAGAACCUCACAUUAGAAAAUCUUAACUAUUCCCUUAUAGGUCUUAAAGGUGCGUUAUUAUGCUUCCUUGAACAGGUUAUAUUGAGGGCUGAACAAAUCAUGUUCAUCACAUGUGAAAUUUCAUAAUGAACUAUUUUAGGACCUCUUAUUACUUUAAAUCAAAAUAACAUGCAACUGGCCACACCCCGGACUCAACAUUUACACUCAUACAUGGAAAUAGUUGCAAUUAGAUGCACAAUUAAACAGCCGUACAUCUUUGAAAAGCAGAAGUACAGCCUCCUGCACAACCAACAUGAAUGCAGCAAGUGGUUUCUGGAUGGUAGGUCACCAACAAAACACUUGUCUUUUCCAACAGCUUUUGUACAGAGGUAAAACCAGCUCAUCAAAUGUCCCGGAGUUCAGCUUGGGUUGCUAGGUGACAGGCUGGGCUCAGCUGGGGUUGCUAAGUAACGGCACAGCGCCUGUCGAUUGCGACUUAAUAAUAGGGACGUUUUGGAAAAGACAAAUUUUUUCCAGAUAUAACUUAAUUCCUAAAAAUGACUGAGUGUUGAUUUUAAGCACUUGGGUUGUUUUUGGAAGCAGUCGAGACCCAAACAAAAGUAUA
Xiphophorus couchianus (Monterrey platyfish) is the source of this 8340-nucleotide long non-coding RNA. RefSeq lists it as uncharacterized. The transcript has 2 exons. The record is from RefSeq and is a predicted model, not a curated record. NCBI's taxonomy places the organism in Eukaryota, Metazoa, Chordata, Actinopteri, Cyprinodontiformes, Poeciliidae.